Long non-coding RNA from Cercocebus atys (sooty mangabey), 3876 nucleotides. RefSeq lists it as uncharacterized. Lineage: Eukaryota; Metazoa; Chordata; Mammalia; Primates; Cercopithecidae. The transcript has 4 exons. The record is from RefSeq and is a predicted model, not a curated record.
GUUACCUUCUCAUCUGUAACUAGGAGGCAGGGAAGAAGGCAAUGCAGUCCUCCUUUAGAGACUCAAACUGUGUCCCCAGCCCUCCCCAUCUCCUCCCACACCCCCCUCCAAACUCAGCUUGGCUGGGAAAGGAAACUCCCCAGUCUGCUGUGCUCCUGCAAGCUGAGUGUUUGCAGGGCAGCCGUCAGUGUAUGUGUUUUGUUUCUGAUGCUAAGGCCCUUUCUGAACCGGAUCUCCAUCCCUUCACUGAGCAGGGCUCACACAUAUUUAUGUUGGAGUGCAAAGGCUUCUGAUGCCCAGACAUGUGUCCCCCAAUCUGAGAAGGGAGCCAGGAAAGGGGCUGGAGUUGAUGCAUCUUGACUUAAGGGCUGAAGAGUUGGCAAUUUUGGAGGCCAGUGAAGAGCCACGUAGAAAAUGUCCCACUGCCUGCCAUCACCAGUAGCUCCUCUUGCUCCCGUCCUGCAGAGAGAGCUCCCACACAGGUCGCAGACACAGGGUCCUCUUUAAAAUGAAGAUGAAAUGCACCUGGUUCUACCACCUAGUUAGAAGCAGUUAUGAAGGUUGAAGAGCUGUUAUCUGAGAUUUAUAGCCCCAAAUCUGUGAGAUAGACUCUCCUAAUUAAUAAGACAAGGAAGACUAGAAAGUUGCAAAAACUACCUGGCAGGGCUUGGAGCCUGCUGUCACCACCACGAUGAUAGCACUGUCUUCACUGCUGAGCCUAUUAGAAUGUCAGGAUGUGCAUUCUCCUCUCCUAGUGGGAUGGCAGGGUUCACUGGCUAUUACGGAGAAGCAAGUGCAGAUCGUGACUUAAGGCUCCGGGAGGAGAGUUAAUCAGGGAAGAGCUGGUUGACAAGACUCACUCAGCACAGGACUUGAGAACACCAGGAGGCGGAAAGGGAGAAGAAAGAACCUCUUCCAAAGGCAGCAUCCACACCCUUGACAAAGGGCCAUUUCCCCCAGCCUGGGUUGCUUUCUGACUUCCUUUGAUCCCCACUGAGCAUUUGCUUCCUUGUCUCCAGCCUUCACCUGAUAAGUUCAAUUCGACAUCCUCUCUCUCUUCUCCCAAUGUCCUCUCCUUAAUUUCACUGCAUCCUCCAAUGUGAAUGUUUGCCUCCCAGUCUGGGAUCUGUCUUAUUCCCUUUAUCUCACCUGAAAAAGCUUUCUCCUUUAAUCUCUGCUCAUUCAAGUCCCACCCAUCCUUCAAAGUAUGGCCAAGCUCACCUCUUCCAGAAAAGCCUCACCCUGUGGUGUUAUCUCCAUCUGGAAUCACAGCAGCACUUACUGUGAGAUAACUAUCCACUUACAUCUAACAGAGUUCACUGCACUCUCCCCAAAUGAAGUGGACACCUGUAGGCAGUAAGAAGAGAAUCUUUUUGACCCAGUGGUGCAUUCAAUGCAAUGCAAGGAAAGACCGUGAUAAUACUGAAAAUGAGUACUACCCGGCCCCAGGAGGUGUACGCCAUCCUUGCUUGAUGCCAGUUCACAAAGAGAGCUCUUGUUUAUUGAGAGCUUAUAGUGCCGAGGAAUUCACAUAAUUCAUCUCAUCUAAAUUCUCCAACAUUCAUGAGAUGGUUUCUCUUAUUUCCUCCUUUUACGCAUGAAGAAACUGAGGCUCAGGAGGUUAGAUGACUUGUUCAGAGUCACACAGAUAGUACGAGGCUGACCCAGAAUUCAACCCCAGGUCUGGCUGACUCCAGCACCCGCCCUUUCCCUCCACGACCAAGCACAAGAAGCAGGCUGGCACUGGCCUUUCGCUGCUAUGACUGCCAAGCUGGGUUACACCUGCUGCUGGUCCCCAGCACCAGGCACACGAUGCAACUGUGAGUCCUCUGGAGUCUGUGAGGGAGCUGGCACUCGCCUUCUGCCUGAAGCAAAGGAGCUGUGCUCUUCAGUUUCAGCGUGAAAAAGCCUCAGAAGAUGCCCAGCUUAGAUGGACACAGGAGACAGUCUAUGGACAUCGUCUCCACUUCCUGGCUUCCUCAGCACUGUUGCUAGUGAAGCUACUCUGCCCAAGGUCUCCAGUAAACUGAAAGAAGUCAGGACUUACGCAUACAGAUGAAUACGCCCCGUGGGUAUUCACUGGGUCCUCUUGGGAAGCCAGCUCUGUGUCCCAGGCACACCGUCUGUGUGCAAGAGUAGGGGAACACCUGAGUUUGGGAAUUGCUUUCGUAUCAGCUUACAGGCCACUCCAAGAGCCGGCCUCCUGGCUUCAUAGUCACAGACCACCUGCAGGGUUGACUUAUGCAUCCUUUUGCAGGAGACAGGCUCACUUCUCUCCUGUGACUAACAUGGAAUUACGGGUUAAGGAGGGAAGUCGUACUCACCUGUUGAUUCAUUUAUUCACUCACUUGCUCACUCAUCAAUCAUUUCUUCAACAAUGAAACCCUUACUAGACAAAUACUGACUCCCUGCUCCAGAAUAACGAUCUGUUCGGUGCUAGGACUGUCAAAUGAGUAAGCGUUUCUUCCCACAGGCGUUCAGGGUCUAUUUCUGCACUUUACAGACAGGCAAGACAGAAGUGAUCGGAAGCGGCCACCAACCAUGGAGUUCAGAAACACGGCACAUUUCUGGAAGAGGCAAAAGGCAACUCUUCCAUCCACAUUGGUCAAGAGGAAAUUCAACACAGCUCACAGCCAUUGAAUCUGACCCGGCAGCGUGUGAUACAUCCCAUCGUCUUGUCAGUUAGCAGCUGUGGGACCUUGAGAGCUUCUUAAAUUCCCGAGUCUAGACUUUCUUAUCUUUAAAAUGCAGCUGAAAACAAUGUCUGUCUCAUGCAGGUGUGGGCUAAAAGGAAUCGUAUAUAAAGCAUUCAGCACGUGUCAAGUCCAGGUCAAGGCCGGCGUGCAGAGGCAGGGAGAGGUGUAACCUCUUUCAGUUUGGAGCCACGCAGUACCCUGCCAUUUGCAGCCCUUCGGGGUAAGGCUGUAGCCCCCAAACAGCCUGCUGCCCCAGAGCAGUGGCCCAGCAGGUGCGCUGACAGCUCUGGUGCACGUGGCAUGCCCCUACUCCUCACACGGAAGCAACAGGGACACUGACAGGGACCUGAGAUGGGGUGGCCCACCUGGCUGGCAGCUGGCAACUGGGCACAUUGCCCAGAAGGUGGGGAGUUCUCAGUUAGGGGCAGAGGUGGGUGGUUGAGAGAGUAGUUAGCAGCACUGUCUACUGUGGCAGGGAUCUCCUGGGUAAGGUCAGAGGGAUUUGAGGAGGCCCAGGUGUCACCCCAGGGUGGGGCAGGACGCUGCUCAAGUCAGAAAAUGAAGUUGCAGGAUGUAGGGGAGGGGGUGGGACUGUUAGUCUAAUUGUGACUCAUCUCUCCUUAUUUUUCUCCUUAUCGCUUGUAUUUAAUUUUUUUUAAUCCUCCCAAGUUACUGGGCCUUGAGGACAUUCCUAGUGUGUGUGUGUGUGUGUGUGUGUGUGUGUGUGUGUAUUUCUAUAUAUAUAAUUUUUUUUUGAGACAGAGUUUCGCUCUUGUUGCUCAGGUGGAGUGCAAUGGAGCGAUCUCGGCUCACUACAACCUGCACCUCCCGGGAUCGCUUGAGCCCAGGAGGUCGAGGCUGCAGUGAGCCAUGAUCACAUUUGCCAGCCUUGGUGACAGAGCAAGACCAUCUCAAAGUAUGUAUUUACCAAAUGAAGUUUUAUGAUGUUCUCUAGCACUUUUUAGUUUAUUCUCUUUAAAAAGAAACCCUCUGAAGUAUCUCUGGAGAAGACAAAUGCAUGUGUGCGCGCACACACUCUGGGAACAGGAGCUGCUUCGGUAGAUAACUGAGUGGGAGGAGGUUAAUUUUUCACUGUGACCCUUAUCUGUACACCUGCUAACUCAAAAUAAUUUAAUAACAACAACAAUGACAAUAAAAGGGGAGUGAGUGCUCUCAUUUU